GUCGCGUCAAUCGACGGCCGGUCGAGUCGAAGCGGUUGCGAUUUCCCAGUGCCACCGAAAACUCGGCUGGUUAGUGGUUUGUUCGAGUCGAAUGAAGGUCGAGUGAGGCUCGAGCGACCGGGCUUGGACACCGAUGCGAUUGAUCGUCUUCAAAGGCGCUUCCCUAUUGAUGGUUUUUAUUUUAAUUCGUCAGAGCCGAACGGCAUAAAAGGAUUAUGGUUAGAAAGAGUGAAAGGAAUAAGCACGGUACACCCGAUAAAUCCGUAGAGAAAGCUUCGACUAGAAAAAGUAGUCGACAGACGAGACGGAGGAAGAAGUCUACCUCGGAAUCAGAGCCAGAACCUGACAUUCCUGUUGAAAAAGAAACCAAGAGGGAAAAACAUGAGGAGAAGGCAGAAACUUCUGAUGCUCAUACCAGGCUCAGGCGAUCCGCCAGGACCAAAAAUACUCCAGACAUGGAAGCAGAGAUGGUAGAAAAAGCAAAGAGCGAAGAGGUGGUUGAAAACUCUGAUGACAAAGAAUGGAAGGAUGAUAGUAAAUUUUGGGAAGCUCAGCCUGCUAAGCCUGAAGAGGCUAAACCUGCUGAAAAUGAAGAAGAGGGCUUGACAUGGAAAGUUCAGAGCUCUAACGGAUCAGGUGGUGAGAUCCAGAAGCUGAAAAUUUGUAGGCAAAGAUUAACUGAUUCCGCCGAGUCUUCGUCUUCACCGACAAAGGAGACAACAUCUCCAAGAAGGAAGAGGUAUACAAAAAGGGCUACCAAAGAGAAGCACGACCCUGAGAGUGCCGAAUCGACCGGUUCUCAUACAGAUUCAGAAGCUCCACUUCAGAUAAACCCCGAAGAGAAUGUGAAACAGGAAGCACCGACUGAAAAGGAGAGUGCUGACAAAGAGGGAAAUCUCAGCGAGGAGAAAGCAGAAAAGACAACAGAGAAAGAGGUUGAAGUGCAGAAACCGGCAGACAUCGCUGAAACUCCGAUUGUUAAUCGGCCUUCGAUCCCGGAAAAAGAGGAAGGUGAACUAGACACUACUGUCGAGGGGUCCGACGUACAGAAAUCUAGUGAAUGUGAAUCUAUGGUGGUGGAAGCCAACCAGGUGGCAAUCAAUGAAGAGACUCAGGAUGAAAAAGAGGACUGUACAAAAGAAAAAAUAUCCACAAAAGAGCCAGUAAAUGAAAAGUUGGAAAAUGCAAGCAUUGAUAUCUCAUUAUCCAAUGAAAUUGCCAUGGAAGAGAUUGCUAUGGAGGAGAUUGCAAAGAAACUGAAUGAGAGGGCUGCAGCUAAGGGUGCUAAGGAGAUACCAGAGGAGAAGGAGAAGAAAGUGAACGAUAGCGCCAAAACGCCAGAUUCUGAUUUAGACACAACAAAAGAAGAAGGAGAAAUAUCCUCAGCUGCAGAAACUCCAGAACCUGUGAAAAAACAGACAAUGGAGUCACGAGCAAGACCGACUGCAUUGAAAAGGCUAACAGAGGAAAUACCAACUAGUCUGAGAAAAAGAAGGACAAGUAAACAAAUUAAACCACAGAAAGAUUCUCAAAUUGCCAUUUCUUCAUUAACGCUAAAGACUUUGGUUCCUGACGUUGCACCUGUGCCUUUGGAGGAAGUAAAAGAAAUGCUUACGAUUGAGAAGGAAGAAGCCGAGAAGAAAAAGUUGAUAUUAGAGUCGCAAGACGAUGGGGUGGCUGCAGAGGAAGACGAGGGUCCUGGAGGGCACGAGAGCAAGCACCUUAGAGAAUCCAAAGACAAGAAGUCUAAGACGCCUGAACGUAAGAGAAGCUUUAAGGAGGAGGGGUUGGAUAAUAAUGAGGUGAAGAAAAAAAAGAUUAUUAUCAAGCACAAGGAUGAGCCAAAGGUAGAUGUCAAAGUCAACAAUCAAGAAAAUCAUAAAGCUGCUAGGAAAAUAUCAAUUGUUUCUGAUGAUGCCAAAACAUUAAGGAAGUCACCGAGUCCAUCAGUUAAAAAAGCAACAAACAUAUUGUACAUAACCAAUCUUGUUAGGCCUUUUACUGUACCACAGUUAAAGGAGCUUUUAGCUCGAACAGGAACUUUGGCACCAAACGGUUUCUUUAUUGAUAAAAUCAAAUCUAAAUGUUAUGUCAAGUAUACGACUGUGGAAAUGGCUGUAGAGACGAGGCACGCCCUUCAUGGCGUCAGAUGGCCUGUCAACAACCCAAAGACAUUGAAAGUUGAAUUUUCAAAUGAACAAAACCUUAAUAUAAUGCUCCGACUUGCCGAGGAAGAGCACAACGCGGCGAUUAAACAAGAGGUAGCUGCCAUUGACAAGAAUGAAAGGCUUGAAGUCAAGGAAGCUACUUGGGGAAUUGAAAAGAACAUUAUCAAACCUUCAUCUCGACGGGUCACAACCUCAAUUAGGGAAUGGGACAUGGGCAAGAUGCCUGGCAAUGAAAACCAAGCUCCCAAUCAGACGCAGCUCGAGGUGAAAAAAGAAGAAUGGGUCAAAAAUAAGGAUAAAAACAAACUUGAUUCAGAAAACCGGAGGCGCCAGCACAGUCCAGAAAAAUCUGAAAUCCCUCGAAAACUAAAAAAGAAAGACAAUGAAGCUCCAGCUAAACUGUUAGACGGUCUCUUCCGGAAGACAAAAGCUACCCCUCGAAUAUAUUGGCUUCCUCUAACAACCGCACAGAUAGUGGUGAGAGAGGAGAUGAGGAGGCAACAAUUGGCCGAACACGAAAGGAGGUUGGCCCAAGCUGAACAGAGAAAGACAGAGUCGAGGAGGGAUAAAGAUAAAGAGAGAGAUAGGGAAAGAGAGAGGGACAGAGAUCGGGAUCGAGACCGGGAUCGAGAAAGGGUCCGUGAGAGGGAUAGGAGAAAGAAAUAAUGAAUAGAUGCAGAAUGGCAGAAUUUAUCUCUAUCUCUCUCUCCUGCAACUUACUCCACUCCAUGAUAGGGCUGUCCGUUCAACAAGUGUUAGGUCGAGGCUUGGAGGGUAGCUUAGUCUGGAAUCGCCGCUGAUAGCUUCAGCGCCUUCACAACCUUUGCUGACAAUUUUUCUCUCUCACACUUACAAUGGGAUACGAUAUCAUCAUUGGUGUUUCUUGCCUGAUUAACGUCUUACGAGUUUCCUUUGUCGAAGUGAGCCCGAAUUCUUCUCACUAAUAAAUAUUGGCACUUGCAACAAGAAUGCUGCCAUGAGAAAGGAAGCUGGCGAUUCUGCUCGUCACAAAGGAUGAUGGCCACCCGCUUGUCAAUGAGUCUGACUUCAAAUUCACCAGAGUGGUCCAGAGACACAAAAUACAUCCUUAAUUAUCAGUUUGCUACAAGAAAUUCAGUAGGCUAAUUGCCAAAAUACUUCAAACUAUCGGAAUUCUCUCUCAAAAAAAGAGACUGCAAUGACUCGCAACCACCCUACACAAUCUUUAUCAACAUCUCAUUCUUAUAUGUAAAUAGUGUCAAAUGAAUGUCUUAGCAAUGGAAUUAUGAAUAGAAUUUCAAUCAAUUUUGUACAAAACAACU
This 3469-nucleotide unclassified non-coding RNA is filed under the name Cimex lectularius (bed bug). RNAcentral's name for it is "apoptotic chromatin condensation inducer in the nucleus, transcript variant X3". The record is from RNAcentral. Lineage: Eukaryota; Metazoa; Arthropoda; Insecta; Hemiptera; Cimicidae.